Molecule: ribosomal RNA, 652 nt
Filed under: uncultured bacterium
Lineage: Bacteria
Description: bacterial SSU rRNA
Rfam family: Bacterial small subunit ribosomal RNA
Source: RNAcentral
GUAACNCAGCUAACGCGUGAGUAGNCCGCCUGGGGAGUACGUUGCAAGAUUAAAACUCAAAGGAUUGACGGGACCCGCACAAGCGGUGGAUGAUGUGGAUUAAUUCGAUGCAACGCGAAAACCUUACCUACCCUUGACAUGUACGGAACCCUGCUGAGAGGUGGGGGUGCUCGAAAGAGAGCCGUAACACAGGUGCUGCAUGGCUGUCGUCAGCUCGUGUCGUGAGAUGUUGGGUUAAGUCCCGCAACGAGCGCAACCCUUGUCAUUAGUUGCUACGAAAGGGCACUCUAAUGAGACUGCCGGUGACAAACCGGAGGAAGGUGGGGAUGACGUCAAGUCCUCAUGGCCCUUAUGGGUAGGGCUUCACACGUCAUACAAUGGUACAUACAGAGGGCCGCCAACCCGCGAGGGGGAGCUAAUCCCAGAAAGUGUAUCGUAGUCCGGAUUGUAGUCUGCAACUCGACUACAUGAAGUUGGAAUCGCUAGUAAUCGCGGAUCAGCAUGUCGCGGUGAAUACGUUCCCGGGUCUUGUACACACCGCCCGUCACACCAUGGGAGCGGGUUUUACCAGAAGUAGGUAGCUUAACCGCAAGGAGGGCGCUUACCACGGUAGGAUUCGUGACUGGGGUGAAGUCGUAACAAGGUAGCCGUA